AUGGAGUCCCGGUGGGUUAUCGCGUUCCUCUUCCUGUCCCUGCAGCCGCUGCUCGGCGCGUCCUACCUGCGGGCGAGGAAGAACUACAUCGUGCACCUCGACCCGAGGGGCGGCCCCGUCGACUCCGUCGAGGAGUGGCACCGCUCCUUCCUCCCGAGGACGGCCGCGCUCGAAUCUGAGGUGGAGGCGGACGGCGGCGCCAAGGACCAUGGCCCGCGCAUCAUAUACUCCUACAGCGACGUGUUCACCGGCUUCGCCGCGCGGCUCACGGACGAGGAGGCCGAGGCGCUGAGGUCCACGGAGGGGUGCCUCAGGCUGUACCCGGAGGUGUUCUUGCCGCUCGCCACCACCCGCUCGCCCGGCUUCCUCGGCCUCCACCUCGGGAACGAGGGGUUCUGGAGUCGCUCCGGGUUCGGCCGCGGGGUGGUGAUUGGCAUCUUGGACACGGGGAUCCUGCCCAGCCACCCUUCCUUCGGCGACGACGGCCUCGAGCCGCCGCCCAAGACCUGGAAGGGCACGUGCGAGUUCAAGGCCGUCGCCGGCGGCGGAUGCAACAACAAGAUCAUCGGGGCGCGCGCGUUCGGCAGCGCCGCCGUCAACUCGUCGGCGCCGCCGGUGGACGACGCGGGCCACGGCACGCACACGGCCAGCACGGCCGCGGGCAACUUCGUGGAGAACGCCAACGUCCGGGGCAACGCGGACGGCACGGCCUCGGGGAUGGCGCCGCACGCGCACCUGGCGAUAUACAAGGUCUGUACUCGCAGCCGCUGCUCUAUCAUGGACAUCAUCGCUGGGCUGGACGCCGCCGUCAAGGACGGCGUCGACGUGCUGUCCUUCUCCAUCGGCGCGCAAUCCGGCACGCAGUUCAACUACGAUCCCAUCGCCAUCGCGGCGUUCCAGGCCAUGGAGCGCGGCAUCUUCGUCAGCUGCGCGGCGGGCAACGCCGGUCCGGACCCGGGCUCCGUCGGCAACGGGGCGCCUUGGAUGCUCACCGUCGCGGCCGGCACCAUGGACCGCGCGAUACGCACCACCGUGAGGCUCGGCAACGGCGAGGAGUUCGACGGCGAGUCCCUGUUCCAGCCGGGCAACAACUCCGCCGCGAAGCCGCUUCCGCUCGUGUACCCCGGCGCCGACGGCUCCGACACUAGCCGUGAUUGCAGCGUGCUGCGCGGAGCCGAGGUGAGCGACAAGGUGGUGCUCUGCGAGAGCAGAGGCCUAAACGGCCGCAUCGAAGCUGGCCAGACCGUGUCCGCGUACGGCGGCUUGGGCAUGAUCGUCAUGAACAGAGCAGCCGAAGGGUACACCACCUUCGCCGACCCGCAUGUCCUCCCUGCGACGCACCUGAGCUACGAUGCCGGGACCAAGAUCGCGGCCUACAUUAACUCCACGGCCAACCCGACGGCGAGCAUCGCGUUCAAGGGCACAGUCAUGGGCGCGCUGCCGGCGCCGGCCGUUACGUUCUUCUCGUCCCGAGGUCCGAGCAAGGCCAGCCCGGGCAUCCUGAAGCCGGACAUCACGGGGCCCGGCAUGAACAUACUCGCGGCGUGGGCGCCGAGCGAGUCGCACACGGAGUUCUCCGACGGGGGCGUCGGCCUGUCUUUCUUCGUGGAGUCUGGCACGUCCAUGUCGACGCCGCACCUGAGCGGCAUCGCCGCACUCAUCAAGAGCCUGCACCCGGACUGGUCACCGGCGGCGAUCAAAUCGGCGAUCAUGACGACGUCGGACGCAGUGGACCGCACCGGCGUGCCCCUCAAGGACGAGCAGUACCGCCACGCCACCUUCUACGCCAUGGGCGCGGGCUACGUCAACCCCGCGCUCGCCUUCGACCCCGGCCUAGUCUACGACCUCCACGCCGACGACUACCUCCCCUACCUCUGCGGCCUCGGCCUCGGCGACGAGGGCGUUACCGAGAUCGCUCACCGCCCGGUCACCUGCGCCAACCUCAAGGCCACCACCGAGGCAGAGCUGAACUACCCGUCCCUCGUCGUCAACCUGCUGGCCCAGCCGAUCACGGUCAACCGCACGGUGACCAACGUCGGGAAGCCGAACUCCGUGUACACCGCCGUGGUGGACAUGCCCAAAGACGUGUCGGUGACGGUGCAGCCGCCGAUGCUGCGGUUCACGGAGGCCAAGGAGAAGCAGAGCUUCACGGUGACGGUGCGGUGGGCGGGGCAGCCGAGCGUCGCCGGCGCCGAGGGCAACCUGAAGUGGGUCUCCGAUGACCACAUCGUGCGGAGCCCCAUUGUGGUUCCGCCCAAGGCCGCGUAG
RNAcentral lists this ribosomal RNA (2268 nucleotides) under Triticum aestivum (bread wheat). RNAcentral's name for it is "partial small subunit ribosomal RNA". The record is from RNAcentral. Lineage: Eukaryota; Viridiplantae; Streptophyta; Magnoliopsida; Poales; Poaceae.